AGUGAACGCUGGCGGUAGGCCUAACACAUGCAAGUCGAACGGCAGCACAGUAAGAGCUUGCUCUUACGGGUGGCGAGUGGCGGACGGGUGAGGAAUACAUCGGAAUCUACUUUUUCGUGGGGGAUAACGUAGGGAAACUUACGCUAAUACCGCAUACGACCUACGGGUGAAAGCAGGGGAUCUUCGGACCUUGCGCGAUUGAAUGAGCCGAUGUCGGAUUAGCUAGUUGGCGGGGUAAAGGCCCACCAAGGCGACGAUCCGUAGCUGGUCUGAGAGGGUGAUCAGCCACACUGGAACUGAGACACGGUCCAGACUCCUACGGGAGGCAGCAGUGGGGAAUAUUGGACAAUGGGCGCAAGCCUGAUCCAGCCAUACCGCGUGGGUGAAGAAGGCCUUCGGGUUGUAAAGCCCUUUUGUUGGGAAAGAAAAGCAGCAGGUUAAUACCCCGCUGUUCUGACGGUACCCAAAGAAUAAGCACCGGCUAACUCCGUG
RNAcentral lists this ribosomal RNA (492 nucleotides) under uncultured bacterium. RNAcentral describes it as "partial 16S ribosomal RNA". It matches the Rfam family "Bacterial small subunit ribosomal RNA", at positions 29 to 507 of the family's 1533-position model. The record is from RNAcentral.